This 2902-nucleotide ribosomal RNA is filed under the name Klebsiella pneumoniae. RNAcentral's name for it is "23S ribosomal RNA". It matches the Rfam family "Bacterial large subunit ribosomal RNA". Lineage: Bacteria; Pseudomonadati; Pseudomonadota; Gammaproteobacteria; Enterobacterales; Enterobacteriaceae. The record is from RNAcentral.
GGUUAAGUGACUAAGCGUACACGGUGGAUGCCCUGGCAGUCAGAGGCGAUGAAGGACGUGCUAAUCUGCGAAAAGCGUCGGUAAGGUGAUAUGAACCGUUAUAACCGGCGAUGUCCGAAUGGGGAAACCCAGUGUGAUUCGUCACACUAUCGUUAACUGAAUACAUAGGUUAACGAGGCGAACCGGGGGAACUGAAACAUCUAAGUACCCCGAGGAAAAGAAAUCAACCGAGAUUCCCCCAGUAGCGGCGAGCGAACGGGGAGCAGCCCAGAGUCUGAAUCAGCUUGUGUGUUAGUGGAACGGUCUGGAAAGUCCGACGGUACAGGGUGAUAGUCCCGUACACCAAAAUGCACAGGUUGUGAACUCGAAGAGUAGGGCGGGACACGUGGUAUCCUGUCUGAAUAUGGGGGGACCAUCCUCCAAGGCUAAAUACUCCUGACUGACCGAUAGUGAACCAGUACCGUGAGGGAAAGGCGAAAAGAACCCCGGCGAGGGGAGUGAAAAAGAACCUGAAACCGUGUACGUACAAGCAGUGGGAGCACCUUCGGGUGUGACUGCGUACCUUUUGUAUAAUGGGUCAGCGACUUAUAUUCUGUAGCAAGGUUAACCGUAUAGGGGAGCCGCAGGGAAACCGAGUCUUAACUGGGCGUUAAGUUGCAGGGUAUAGACCCGAAACCCGGUGAUCUAGCCAUGGGCAGGUUGAAGGUUGGGUAACACUAACUGGAGGACCGAACCGACUAAUGUUGAAAAAUUAGCGGAUGACUUGUGGCUGGGGGUGAAAGGCCAAUCAAACCGGGAGAUAGCUGGUUCUCCCCGAAAGCUAUUUAGGUAGCGCCUCGUGAACUCAUCUUCGGGGGUAGAGCACUGUUUCGGCUAGGGGGUCAUCCCGACUUACCAACCCGAUGCAAACUACGAAUACCGAAGAAUGUUAUCACGGGAGACACACGGCGGGUGCUAACGUCCGUCGUGAAGAGGGAAACAACCCAGACCGCCAGCUAAGGUCCCAAAGUCAUGGUUAAGUGGGAAACGAUGUGGGAAGGCACAGACAGCCAGGAUGUUGGCUUAGAAGCAGCCAUCAUUUAAAGAAAGCGUAAUAGCUCACUGGUCGAGUCGGCCUGCGCGGAAGAUGUAACGGGGCUAAACCAUGCACCGAAGCUGCGGCAGCGACACUAUGUGUUGUUGGGUAGGGGAGCGUUCUGUAAGCCUGCGAAGGUGUGCUGUGAGGCAUGCUGGAGGUAUCAGAAGUGCGAAUGCUGACAUAAGUAACGAUAAAGCGGGUGAAAAGCCCGCUCGCCGGAAGACCAAGGGUUCCUGUCCAACGUUAAUCGGGGCAGGGUGAGUCGACCCCUAAGGCGAGGCCGAAAGGCGUAGUCGAUGGGAAACAGGUUAAUAUUCCUGUACUUGGUGUUACUGCGAAGGGGGGACGGAGAAGGCUAUGUUAGCCGGGCGACGGUUGUCCCGGUUUAAGCAUGUAGGCUGGUUAUCCAGGCAAAUCCGGAUAAUCAAGGCUGAGGUGUGAUGACGAGGCACUACGGUGCUGAAGUAACAAAUGCCCUGCUUCCAGGAAAAGCCUCUAAGCAUCAGGUAACAUCAAAUCGUACCCCAAACCGACACAGGUGGUCAGGUAGAGAAUACCAAGGCGCUUGAGAGAACUCGGGUGAAGGAACUAGGCAAAAUGGUGCCGUAACUUCGGGAGAAGGCACGCUGGUGUGUAGGUGAAGUCCCUGCGGAUGGAGCUGAGACCAGUCGAAGAUACCAGCUGGCUGCAACUGUUUAUUAAAAACACAGCACUGUGCAAACACGAAAGUGGACGUAUACGGUGUGACGCCUGCCCGGUGCCGGAAGGUUAAUUGAUGGGGUUAUCCGUAAGGAGAAGCUCUUGAUCGAAGCCCCGGUAAACGGCGGCCGUAACUAUAACGGUCCUAAGGUAGCGAAAUUCCUUGUCGGGUAAGUUCCGACCUGCACGAAUGGCGUAAUGAUGGCCAGGCUGUCUCCACCCGAGACUCAGUGAAAUUGAACUCGCUGUGAAGAUGCAGUGUACCCGCGGCAAGACGGAAAGACCCCGUGAACCUUUACUAUAGCUUGACACUGAACAUUGAGCCUUGAUGUGUAGGAUAGGUGGGAGGCUUUGAAGCGUGGACGCCAGUCUGCGUGGAGCCAACCUUGAAAUACCACCCUUUAAUGUUUGAUGUUCUAACGUUGGCCCCUUACCGGGGUUGCGGACAGUGUCUGGUGGGUAGUUUGACUGGGGCGGUCUCCUCCCAAAGCGUAACGGAGGAGCACGAAGGUUAGCUAAUCCUGGUCGGACAUCAGGAGGUUAGUGCAAUGGCAUAAGCUAGCUUGACUGCGAGCGUGACGGCGCGAGCAGGUGCGAAAGCAGGUCAUAGUGAUCCGGUGGUUCUGAAUGGAAGGGCCAUCGCUCAACGGAUAAAAGGUACUCCGGGGAUAACAGGCUGAUACCGCCCAAGAGUUCAUAUCGACGGCGGUGUUUGGCACCUCGAUGUCGGCUCAUCACAUCCUGGGGCUGAAGUAGGUCCCAAGGGUAUGGCUGUUCGCCAUUUAAAGUGGUACGCGAGCUGGGUUUAGAACGUCGUGAGACAGUUCGGUCCCUAUCUGCCGUGGGCGCUGGAGAAUUGAGGGGGGCUGCUCCUAGUACGAGAGGACCGGAGUGGACGCAUCACUGGUGUUCGGGUUGUCAUGCCAAUGGCACUGCCCGGUAGCUAAAUGCGGAAGAGAUAAGUGCUGAAAGCAUCUAAGCACGAAACUUGCCCCGAGAUGAGUUCUCCCUGAGACUUUAAGUCUCCUGAAGGAACGUUGAAGACGACGACGUUGAUAGGCCGGGUGUGUAAGCGCAGCGAUGCGUUGAGCUAACCGGUACUAAUGAACCGUGAGGCUUAACCUU